Molecule: signal recognition particle RNA, 172 nt
Filed under: Dehalococcoidia bacterium
Lineage: Bacteria; Bacillati; Chloroflexota; Dehalococcoidia
Description: partial signal recognition particle sRNA large type
Rfam family: Bacterial large signal recognition particle RNA
About the family: The signal recognition particle (SRP) is a universally conserved ribonucleoprotein involved in the co-translational targeting of proteins to membranes.
Source: RNAcentral
UCGUGCUAGGUGGGGCGUUAGCGGUGCCCUGUACUCGCAAUCCGCUAUAGCGAGGCUGAAAUCCCCUGUCGAGACUGUUCGUAUGUGGCCGCUGGAGUCAGUAUUUGAUGUUGAUAGCCUGGUCCCGCGCGGCGAGACCUCGUGAACCCCGUCAGGACCGGAAGGUAGCAGC